UACGGGGGGGGCAAGCGUUGUUCGGAAUUACUGGGCGUAAAGGGCUCGUAGGCGGCCAACUAAGUCGGAUGUGAAAUCCCCAGGCUUAACCUGGGAACUGCAUCCGAUACUGGAUGGCUUGAAUCCGGGAGAGGGAUGCAGAAUUCCAGGUGUAGCGGUGAAAUGCGUAGAUAUCUGGAGGAAUACCGGUGGCGAAAGCGGCAUCCUGGACCGGCAUUGACGCUGAGUGAGCGAAAGCCAGGGGAGCAAACGGG
RNAcentral lists this ribosomal RNA (254 nucleotides) under uncultured bacterium. RNAcentral describes it as "partial 16S ribosomal RNA". It matches the Rfam family "Bacterial small subunit ribosomal RNA", at positions 524 to 776 of the family's 1533-position model. The record is from RNAcentral.